Infundibulicybe gibba is the source of this 84-nucleotide non-coding RNA. The record is from the annotation of a GenBank genome assembly. NCBI's taxonomy places the organism in Eukaryota, Fungi, Basidiomycota, Agaricomycetes, Agaricales, Omphalinaceae.
GGCGCUAUAGUGUAGUGGUUAUCACUCGAGAUUCUGACCUCUUGGAAGCUUCUCGAAACCCAGGUUCGAACCCUGGUAGCGCCU